Molecule: ribosomal RNA, 497 nt
Filed under: uncultured bacterium
Lineage: Bacteria
Description: partial 16S ribosomal RNA
Rfam family: Bacterial small subunit ribosomal RNA
Source: RNAcentral
GACGAACGCUGGCGGCGUGCCUAAUACAUGCAAGUAGAACGCUGAAGAGAGGAGCUUGCUCUUCUUGGAUGAGUUGCGAACGGGUGAGUAACGCGUAGGUAACCUGCCUGGUAGCGGGGGAUAACUAUUGGAAACGAUAGCUAAUACCGCAUAAAAUGGAUUAUCGCAUGAUAAUCCAUUGAAAGGUGCAAAUGCAUCACUACCAGAUGGACCUGCGUUGUAUUAGCUAGUUGGCGGGGUAACGGCUCACCAAGGCGACGAUACAUAGCCGACCUGAGAGGGUGAUCGGCCACACUGGGACUGGGACACGGCCCAGACUCCUGCGGGAGGCAGCAGUAGGGCAUCUUCGGCAAUGGACGGAAGUCUGACCGAGCAACGCCGCGUGAGUGCAGAAGGUUUUCGGAUCGUAAAGCUCUGUUGUAAGAGAAGAACGAGUGUGAGAGUGGAAAGUUCACACUGUGACGGUAUCUUACCAGAAAGGGACGGCUAACUACGUG